Mya arenaria is the source of this 2608-nucleotide long non-coding RNA. RefSeq lists it as uncharacterized. The record is from RefSeq and is a predicted model, not a curated record. Lineage: Eukaryota; Metazoa; Mollusca; Bivalvia; Myida; Myidae. The transcript has 4 exons.
UGUUGGUUUCUAUCUGCAAUUCCUUGAUGGUGCGAAUUCAAUGUGUCACUAAUUUUUUUUUUUUUUAAAUUGCCAUAUACAUGGAAGCGAUUCACACAAAAUAUUGAAUUUUUCGCAAAUGAUCAGAGGAAAAGAUUGCUGAAAAAGAUAACUCGCUUAUUGAAAGCAAUUUAUAGCAUACAUGCAUACAUGGUUAGAUAUGGAGUUCCAUGUAUUGUUUGCUAUUUUUGUAUGACAUUUGAUGCAUUGUUCAUGUUUAUGAAAUUUCUAGCUUUCUUAUGCAGGAACCCAGCACUGAGGUGCUUCAAAAACACUAGAGUACAGAAUGGUUAAUGCUUUGGGUAAUCUUAUUUUCUAUUGGUGUUUUAACUGUAAAAUUUUCUAUUUAGAUUAAAAUAUAAAUUGUUAUGUAAUCCCAACAUUCUCCUAUACUUUUUCGUUGCCAUACAUAUUAAGAAAUGCAGAAUGCUGAAUUUAAAGUCCUAGUUAGGUUUAGAUCAUACCAUACAAAUUUGGUCUGCAAAGCUCAUCCCUGCAUCAGCAUUAUAACCAUCCUAUUUUGUAAAAGUCAACUUUGAAUGCGAAUAAAGUCUCUCAUACAUUUGCUUUUUCUUUACCACCAAUCGGAGGAAGAGCCAUAGAUCGAUGGUUGAAAGUCAGCUGCAAAGGGCAUAAACUCCCAAGGUUUCAGCGCGUGACCUGUAGCUGACAUCGAUAGAGACACGAUUACCAUUCACGGUUCACGUAAAUGGAGGCAGCCCUGGCCGAGUAUCAAGGAGCUGAUGUGGUAAUCUUUCAUAUGUUCUUCAAAUAGGGGAGAGGCGAUCUCAGUCGAAUUAAGGUAAGACCUAUUAUAAUCCAUAUGAAGAAAUCUGAUGUACUUCGAUAGAGAACCUGUGAGAACCUGUGUUCAACAGCAUAUAAACCUCAAUGUUGCUUCGAUACUGAACCUGUUUUCAACAGCAAAUGGAACUCUGUCUUGCUCCAGAACACUUGUGUUUAACAGCGUUCUGAGUGAAACUGUGGUUAGCAGCAGCUUUAUUGCGGAAAAAAGAGUUGCAUAUACUGUAAUAAAAAAAGUUAUUGAAAUGAACUUCAUCUGAAGAAUAUUACAAGUUUAACAAGACAUUAUCAAUUGUUCAUGUACUAACAUUACAUCUUAUAACAAGUGCAUUAUGAACUGUACAAUAUUUAUGUUUUUCAUUCACUUACAUAUAAUGAAGGUAUUAAAAUAUUAAGGGAGUAAUAUAUUCUGAAACUUUUUUUUGUUGAUAUUUAUGAAAACAAUUAUAAAGGGCAAUACAUGACUUGCUAUUUGCAAAAUUAAGGCGUUAAAAAAGGUGUUUGUUUCUGGUUAUAUGCCAUGUUAUAUAUGUUAAUUUUUAGUUCACCAGAGCACAAAGUGCUCAAGGUGAGCUAUUGUGAUCGGUCUUUGUCCGUCGUCAGGCAGUCGGUCCGUCCGUCAACAAUUGCUUUAAAAACAUCUCUGAAACAACCUGGCCAAAUUCAAUGAAACUUCACAGGAAGCUUCCUUGGGUGUCCCUCUACAAAAAUACAACAAGGGGUUACGAUUGAUCAACAACAACAACAGCAACAACAAAAUGGCCGACUUCCUGUUUUGCUUUAAAAAAACCCAUCUCCUCUGAAACUUAACUACCUGUCCAAAUUCAAUGAAACUUUAUAGGAAGCUUCCUUGGGUGACCCUCUACAAAAAUACAACCAGGGGUUACGAUUGAUCGACAACAACAAAAAGGCCAACUUCCUGUUUUGCUUUAAAAAAAAAACAUCUCCUCUAAAACUACCAGUCCAAAUUCAAUGAAACUUUACAGGAAGCUUCCUUGGGUAACCUUCUACAAAAAUACAAGGAGUUACAAUUUGUUUUGCUUUAAAAAACAUCUCCUCUAAAACUACCAGUCCAAAUUCAAUGAAACUUUACAGGAAGCUUCCUUGGGUAACCUCCUACAAAAAUAGAAUAACGGGUCGUGAUUGAUCAACAACCUGGCCGACUUCCUGUUUUGCUUUAAAAAAACAUCUCUGAAACUACCAGGCCAAAUUAACUGAAACAUUACAGGAAGCUUCAUUGCAUGACCCUCUACAAAAAUACAACUAGACAUUGAGAUUGAUCAACAACAACAACAACAACAAAAUGGCCGACUCACUGUUUUGCUUCAAAAAAAAUCUCUGAAACUACCAGUCCAAAUUCAAUGAAACUUUUGCAGGUAGCUUCGUUGCAUAACCCUUUAUAAAUAUAAAACAAGGCAUCGUCAUCAGUAAAGAUAUAUUUUAAUUGCAACAUUUUUAUUGAUGCUUUAUCACAGAGUUGUGGCCCUUUGCUUAGGUGAGCGUUCUAGGGCCAUCAUGGCCCUCUUGUUUUAAUAUGGUAAGUGAAAUUAUUGUCAAAGAGCAUUUUCGUUGUCAUAUGGCAGAAAGAACUAAUCCAGUUUUUUUUCUGAAAAAAAUCUAGAUAUGAAAUUAGCAAAAGCACUAUAUUUCGGCCAAAAAAAUCAGAUACAGAUUUUUUUGCAAAUGAUUUUUUAUGGUAUUUUUUUGUUUCGAGUUAAUGGUAAAUAAAUGGGAUCAAUCGGGAUGCCAGAAACAUACCCUUUGU